RNAcentral lists this ribosomal RNA (552 nucleotides) under uncultured Glomus. RNAcentral describes it as "SSU rRNA". It matches the Rfam family "Eukaryotic small subunit ribosomal RNA", at positions 548 to 1098 of the family's 1831-position model. Lineage: Eukaryota; Fungi; Glomeromycota; Glomeromycetes; Glomerales; Glomeraceae. The record is from RNAcentral.
UUGGAGGGCAAGUCUGGUGCCAGCAGCCGCGGUAAUUCCAGCUCCAAUAGCGUAUAUUAAAGUUGUUGCAGUUAAAAAGCUCGUAGUUGAACUUCGGGGUCUACCCAUUGGUCAGGCUUAAUUGUCUGCACUGGUGAGAUGGAUCUCUACCUUCUGAGGAACUUUCAUGCCAUUUAUUUGGUGUGGUUGGAAAUCAGGACUGUUACUUUGAAAAAAUUAGAGUGUUUAAAGCAGACUAUCGUCUGAAUACAUUAGCAUGGAAUAAUGAAAUAGGACGGACUGAUUCUAUUUCGUUGGUUUCUAGGAUCACCGUAAUGAUUAAUAGGGAUAGUUGGGGGCAUUAGUAUUCAAUUGUCAGAGGUGAAAUUCUUGGAUUUAUUGAAGACUAACUACUGCGAAAGCAUUUGCCAAGGAUGUUUUCAUUAAUCAAGAACGAAAGUUAGGGGAUCGAAGACGAUCAGAUACCGUCGUAGUCUUAACCAUAAAUCUAUGCCGACUAGGGAUCGGACGAAGUUAAUUUUAUAAUGACGCGUUCGGCGCCUUACGGGAAAC